AACGAACGCUGGCGGCAUGCCUAACACAUGCAAGUCGAACGAGACCUUCGGGUCUAGUGGCGCACGGGUGCGUAACGCGUGGGAACCUGCCCUUAGGUGCGGAAUAACCCCCCGAAAGGGGUGCUAAUACCGGAUAAUGUCUUCAGACCAAAGAUUUAUCGCCUUUGGAUGGGCCCGCGUUGGAUUAGCUAGAUGGUAGGGUAAAAGCCUACAAAGGCGACGAUCCAUAGCUGGUCUGAGAGGAUGAUCAGCCACACUGGGACUGAGACACGGCCCAGACUCCUACGGGAGGCAGCAGUGGUGAAUAUUGGACAGUGGGCGAAAUCCUGAUCCAUCAAUGCCGCGUGAGUGAUGAAGGCCUUAGGGUUGUAGAGCUCUUUUACCCGGGAUGAUAAUGACAGUACCGAGCGAAUAAGCUCCGGCUAACUCCGUG
Molecule: ribosomal RNA, 433 nt
Filed under: uncultured bacterium
Lineage: Bacteria
Description: partial 16S ribosomal RNA
Rfam family: Bacterial small subunit ribosomal RNA
Source: RNAcentral